This 669-nucleotide long non-coding RNA is filed under the name Brassica napus (rape). RNAcentral's name for it is "long non-coding RNA (BNAP_LNC004850)". The record is from RNAcentral. Lineage: Eukaryota; Viridiplantae; Streptophyta; Magnoliopsida; Brassicales; Brassicaceae.
UAAUGAUUUUGUAAGCUCUUUCUUUAGACCCUUUGAAGCAAAAGAUUCUUGACUGGAAGACACGGUUGAACAUAAUGGAAGGAAUAUGCAGGGGUCUUCUGUACCUUCACAGAGAUUCAAGACUAAGGAUCAUACACAGAGAUCUAAAAGCCAGCAACAUUUUGUUAGAUGACAACCUGAAUCCCAAAAUAUCUGAUUUUGGGCUUGCAAGAGUUUUCCGAGCAAAUGAAGAUGAAGCUAACACAAGAAGGGUUGUAGGAACAUAGUAAGUACUCAUUUCGGAAAAAUAGUAACACAAAUAUUUUGAAAGCCAGUAUUAUCAUAACCUAUAUGAAUUAUUUUUUUGAUGUUGUUGCAGCGGCUACAUGUCACCGGAAUAUGCAAUGGAAGGUUUAUUUUCAGAAAAAUCAGAUGUUUUCAGCUUGGGGGUUAUACUUUUAGAGAUCAUAAGUGGGAGAAGAAACUCUUACAAGAAAGAUAAUUAUCCAAACCUGUUAGCUUAUGUAAGUGUGCACUAACAAUCAUUGUUUAGUAGAUUUUCUACCUUUUAAACUUUACCUGUAAAUUUGGUAUGUUUAUAGGUGUGGACGCUGUGGAAUGAGGGUGAGGCUGCUUCUCUAGCAGAUCCAAACGUCUUUGAUGAGUCUUUCGAGAAAGAGAUAACAAAAU